Molecule: long non-coding RNA, 352 nt
Filed under: Vigna radiata
Lineage: Eukaryota; Viridiplantae; Streptophyta; Magnoliopsida; Fabales; Fabaceae
Description: long non-coding RNA (VRAD_LNC013038)
Source: RNAcentral
UCCGAGAAUGAGGAGUAGCUACCUCAAUUAAUAGGGCUAUCACAUCUUGUUUCAUUUGGAGAAGCACUUCUUUUUCUCUUUGAGAUUGUCGAAUGAAAUGAAGUCUGCCAAGUUACGACCUGAUGAUGGAUUUUGAAGAGGCACAUUUUUUUCGUUUCUGUUUGAAUGAUUUACUUUGCUGCAGCGUUUUUUUUUUUUUUCAAUUAGAGAAUUAUUCAUGGAGGGGCUGAUUCACUUUGAGCUUUAUUCACAUGCUGUCACGGUUUUUUUUCUUUACUAUUUCAUAAGUACAUUUUUAUUUAUUUUGAUGAAGAUUAUGCACGGCUGGGAUGCUUCUUCUAUUGGUAGGCGG